UGGGGAGUACGGCAGCAUGGUUAAAACUCAAAUGAAUUGACGGGGGCCCGCACAAGCGGUGGAGCAUGUGGUUUAAUUCGAUGCAACGCGAAGAACCUUACCUGGUCUUGACAUCCACGGAAGUUUUCAGAGAUGAGAAUGUGCCUUCGGGAACCGUGAGACAGGUGCUGCAUGGCUGUCGUCAGCUCGUGUUGUGAAAUGUUGGGUUAAGUCCCGCAACGAGCGCAACCCUUAUCCUUUGUUGCCAGCGGUCCGGCCGGGAACUCAAAGGAGACUGCCAGUGAUAAACUGGAGGAAGGUGGGGAUGACGUCAAGUCAUCAUGGCCCUUACGACCAGGGCUACACACGUGCUACAAUGGCGCAUACAAAGAGAAGCGACCUCGCGAGAGCAAGCGGACCUCAUAAAGUGCGUCGUAGUCCGGAUUGGAGUCUGCAACUCGACUCCAUGAAGUCGGAAUCGCUAGUAAUCGUGGAUCAGAAUGCCACGGUGAAUACGUUCCCGGGCCUUGUACACACCGCCCGUCACACCAUGGGAGUGGGUUGCAAAAGAAGUAGGUAGCUUAACCUUCGGGAGGGCGCUUACCACUUGUGAUCAGCCUGCC
This 602-nucleotide ribosomal RNA is filed under the name Enterobacterales bacterium. Its description in RNAcentral is "bacterial SSU rRNA". It matches the Rfam family "Bacterial small subunit ribosomal RNA", at positions 874 to 1476 of the family's 1533-position model. Lineage: Bacteria; Pseudomonadati; Pseudomonadota; Gammaproteobacteria; Enterobacterales. The record is from RNAcentral.